AAUUAUAUGGGUAAUCCUAUGAUGACACAUAAAACUUCGCUUGCUCAAUGACGAGAAGGAUAAUCCGAUAAUGUUGCAGCAUCUCUCUUCUUAGAAAUUAGAAUGGCAGGAUUAUUCCUAUUCAAUUGCAUUCCGGUAAUCUCUUUCCUUUAAUUUCAAUCUGAAUUUGGUUGGUUGUUCGUCAUUUUUCAUACUGUGCUCGAAAUCCGUAGUACGUUUCAGGCAAUUUGCAAUAAUCUGUAGUUCAUUGGUUUCUCUCUCGCUAAUUUUCAAUCCAUCAAAAAAAAAAAAUAAAAAAAAAUCCCCAAAUCAAUUUGCAUUUUGCAAGCUAGGUUUACAAUGUCACCCCUUCCUGUAGAUGUUAUUACUGAUAUUCUGCUCCGAUUGCCCGCGAAAUCUCUGCUACGUUUCAAGAGUGUGUGCAAAUUAUGGUAUGAUACAAUUGAUAGCCCUGAUUUCAUCAAGCGCCAUGUUGAGAAAUUCAAUUUGCAUAUGAUUUUCGCGAACCCAGUUGUUUACAUGUGUGAUUUUGACACAUUUGAUAACCCCACUAAUUUGGAUUACCCUUUCAAGAAUCUGGAAGAUGGGGGUGUUUAUGUGGUGGGAUCGAGUCGUGGUUUGCUUUGUUUCUCUAUGCAUUGUUAUCCCUACACCAUCUUCUUGUACAACCCCACUACACAAUCCCACAAAACCCUUCCCUUUUUGCCAUUGAUGUCUACAUUCUAUUAUCCUAGGGGGCAUGUGUAUCUUGGGUUUGGUUAUGAUCCCGUGUCCGAGGAUUAUAAGUGUGUGAAGAUCUUUCUACGAAAAUCAGAUGCUGAAGUGGGUUCUUUCAAGAGUCAAGUUAUGGUUUAUAGCUUGAGGGAGGAUACGUGGAAGCGGGGGGCUCACGACGUUCCAUACUACUUUUACGGACAUUUUGGUUAUUCUGUCAUGCUUCAUGGAAUUAUGCACUGGUCCAUCGAAGGUGAUCACAGAGUGCCCCUUCCCAUGGUUGGCUUCAAUCUCUUUGAUGAAACUUUUAGCUCCGUGUCAUUGCCUAACUAUCAUACUGAUAUCUGUGUGCGCGCUCACAUAGGAGUGGUUGAUGAUUGCUUGUGUGUAAUGCUCAAUCAUUAUUGUUACUGUGAAGUAUGGGUCAUGAAAGAGUAUGGUGAAGCCACAUCUUGGACUAAGUUGUGCAGGGUUGGGAAACGAGAUCAUUUUGAUGAUCUGAGGCCUAUUUCUUUCUCAAAGAGCCAAAAGGAACUGUUUGUGAUUCUUUUUUUGGUUAAUGUUGCUUCUUUGGACUUGGAAACUUUGGAGAUUACGAAUGUUGAGCCCCCUGGUUUUAAGAGACUCUGGAGUGCGCAUGUAUGUUUGGAGAACCUUCUUGUGUUCAGGGAUGUUAAGGAUGUUGAUAUGGGCACACAACAAUUACGAAACAGAAGCAUCAAAAUGCGAAAGUUAUUAAUGGCGAAAACUGAGAGGCUUUUAAGAAUCCAUGCUACGAGGAUACGAGCCAAUCUUGAGCAGCUCCUCCCGUCCAGUGAAGAAUCUUGAUAGGGGCUACAUUCCAAUAACAUAUUGUGGAGGAAAUACUCAUAAUUUAGUUUUCAGAUGUUGCUAUAGCAACAUUGUCUACAAGCACAUUGCUGAGUGGGUUGGAAGCUUGGAAAGUUAAUGGCCUUGAUUGUGUGCCUACUAUCUGGUAGAAAUGGAGUAGAAAAUACAUGUUUCAAAAGUCAAGAGACAUGUUUUUCUAGCUGUGUUCACUACUGAUGCGUAUCAUAUAUGGAGAUGUUUUGAAGUUGAAUGUUGAAUCUUUGUUAUUCAACCGAGGGCAUAAGUCGAAGGAGCCUUCCAAGGAGAGAUAAAUGAAAAGGAUGAAGUUUGAUGGCCGGGGAGUUCUCUUCUCCCACGAGAAUUUACAACUCCUUCAACGUACAAGUUUCUUUGCGGAUAUUGCACUUUGGUGUUGUAGUUUACUAGAAAAUGUUGUAAAUGUAGCCUCCUAAAUUGGUCAGUGUGCAAUUAGUUUACUAGAAAAUGUUGUCAACGGAUUCUAGGAGUAAGAUCUUCGUAAAUCGUAAGCGCGUUUCAUUACCGCUCACUAGUAUUUUAUCUUCUUUUUAUUUUUUUGAGGUAAAAGGUAGGCCGGCAUUAUCAUUGCAAAUCAAGUUCUGCUAAAGUUUUUUUUAGGACUUAUUAGUAUCGUAUCUAACUCAUCAAUUGUUUGGUUAUAGAAAAAUGAAGAUCUGUAAUUUUUAUCCUGUUAUGUUUUUUAAACAGUUCAAACUUGAACUGUUAAAUGUUUUAAAGUCCUGUUAGGUUGA
This is an RNA transcript of Spinacia oleracea (spinach), 2315 nucleotides long. It is a transcript of the gene named F-box protein CPR1, with no coding region annotated. Lineage: Eukaryota; Viridiplantae; Streptophyta; Magnoliopsida; Caryophyllales; Amaranthaceae. The record is from RefSeq and is a predicted model, not a curated record. The transcript has 4 exons.